AGAGUUUGUUCCUGGCUCAGGAUGAACGCUAGCGACAAGCUUAACACAUGCAAGUCGAGGGGCAGCGGUGGUGAAGGCUUGCCUUUACCAGCCGGCGACCGGCGCACGGGUGAGUAACACGUAUGCAACCUGCCUGCCACAGCCGGAUAAUCGGGAGAAAUUCCGUCUAAUACGGCAUAAUGCACCUAUGGGACAUCCUGUUGGUGCCAAAGGUUGAUUCCGGUGGCGGAUGGGCAUGCGUCGCAUUAGUUAGUUGGCGGUGUAACGGACCACCAAGACGACGAUGCGUAGGGGUUCUGAGUGGAAGGUCCCCCACACUGGUACUGAGACACGGACCAGACUCCUACGGGAGGCAGCAGUGAGGAAUAUUGGUCAAUGGGCGGGAGCCUGAACCAGCCAAGUCGCGUGAGGGAUGACGGCCCUAUGGGUUGUAAACCUCUUUUGCCGGGGAGCAAAGUGCCGCACGUGUGCGGUUUGGAGAGUACCCGGAGAAAAAGCAUCGGCUAACUCCGUGCCAGCAGCCGCGGUAAUACGGAGGAUGCGAGCGUUAUCCGGAUUUAUUGGGUUUAAAGGGUGCGUAGGCGGACGCUUAAGUCAGCGGUAAAAUUGCGGGGCUCAACCUCGUCGAGCCGUUGAAACUGGGUGCCUUGAGUGGGCGAGAAGUACGCGGAAUGCGUGGUGUAGCGGUGAAAUGCAUAGAUAUCACGCAGAACUCCGAUUGCGAAGGCAGCGUACCGGCGCCCAACUGACGCUGAAGCACGAAGGCGUGGGUAUCGAACAGGAUUAGAUACCCUGGUAGUCCACGCAGUAAACGAUGAAUGCUAGUUGUCCGGGGCGAUUGAGUUCUGGGUGACACAGCGAAAGCGUUAAGCAUUCCACCUGGGGAGUACGCCGGCAACGGUGAAACUCAAAGGAAUUGACGGGGGCCCGCACAAGCGGAGGAACAUGUGGUUUAAUUCGAUGAUACGCGAGGAACCUUACCCGGGCUCAAACGCAGGAGGGAUGUUUUUGAAAGGAGGCAGCCAGCAAUGGUCUCCUGCGAGGUGCUGCAUGGUUGUCGUCAGCUCGUGCCGUGAGGUGUCGGCUUAAGUGCCAUAACGAGCGCAACCCCUACCUACAGUUGCCAUCGCGUGAUGGCGGGCACUCUGUGGGGACUGCCUGCGCAAGCAGUGAGGAAGGCGGGGAUGACGUCAAAUCAGCACGGCCCUUACGUCCGGGGCGACACACGUGUUACAAUGGCAGGUACAGCGGGAAGCCACCCGGCGACGGGGCGCGGAACCCGAAAACCUGUCUCAGUUCGGAUUGGAGUCUGCAACCCGACUCCAUGAAGCUGGAUUCGCUAGUAAUCGCGCAUCAGCCACGGCGCGGUGAAUACGUUCCCGGGCCUUGCACACACCGCCCGUCAAG
This 1407-nucleotide ribosomal RNA is filed under the name uncultured bacterium. Its description in RNAcentral is "bacterial SSU rRNA". It matches the Rfam family "Bacterial small subunit ribosomal RNA". The record is from RNAcentral.